This is a long non-coding RNA of Homo sapiens (human), 939 nucleotides long. RefSeq lists it as uncharacterized. The transcript is spliced from 3 exons. The record is from RefSeq and is a predicted model, not a curated record. Lineage: Eukaryota; Metazoa; Chordata; Mammalia; Primates; Hominidae.
ACUCUUGCCCAGGUAGUCAUGGUUCCUAAUGCGGGGCUCUGCUCUGCCACUCAGUGGAUGCCCUUGACCCCUCCCCCCGCCGUGGCUUUUCCCAGAGCCCAUCCUCACACCUGCCUGAGCCCCUUUUCCGAGGGCACCUGUUUCCUGCCAGGACCUGGGCUGUGGUCCAUGAUCCCUCACUUCCUAUUGCGCAUUUGGAUGUGCUGUUGAGGGUCCUACGCCUACUCUUAACUUCUGCCUACAAUCAAACCCAAAGGUUAAAAGCUUUGAACUUUUCCUACUCUCAAAAUUGUACCAGCUAUUCAUAUAUUCGUCAGCCCAGUUUUUGGCAAAGGUGAUUUAAAUUUGCUGUUUAAAAGAGAAGCCCUUGCAACGGUGAUCUAGGUUGUGUCAUCGCUUCUGCGUAACAGCAAGGCAAAGCUGCGGAUUUAUCGCCGUUCUACCCAGGUUUCCUGUUGAUUACGGCAGGGUUUGAGGUGCGGUCCCUGGUGUUUCAUCAUGACAAGUGGAGGUUUGCAGGAGAACUUCAUAACCAUCUGCAGAAAAGGUGAAGUCACAUCUUGAGACCAGCUCUAGAUAUGUUACCGAUGGGCUAAUGGUUUUGAUGUAAAAUAAGUAAAAACAUUAAAGGGCUAGAAGAAGCCAGAGGAAAAGUCAUUUAGAGGGUUGUAGUGUGAAAGUCUUUCUAACUGCAACACAAAAUCCUGAAGCUACAAAUUAAUAGAUUAUAUUAAUAGAUUAUAAAUUAACCUAAAUAAUGAUAUUGACAAAUACCUAAGAUAAGAAUUCUCCAUGGAAAUGCCCAUCAUGGAAAACAACAAGUGGGGGAAAUGUUGAAAUCCUGUCAGAGAGAAAGAGCUAAUUCAGGAUAUGGAUGGAAUUAACAAAACAUCAUCAAUAAGACUUUUUUUUUUUGAGUCAGAAUCUCACUCCAUCGCC